AGAUGCUCAUUCCAUCUCUUAUGUUCGCCUUCGUGCCUCAUAAACUCCGGAAUGAUGCAGAGCCGUUCUUACGGUGCUUAUCGUCCACUGACAGAUGUCGCAUUUAUGCCUCAUCAAACACCAUGGACAUUACGUUGAGUGAAGCACCCAAUU
RNAcentral lists this non-coding RNA (153 nucleotides) under Klebsiella pneumoniae. RNAcentral describes it as "GlmY_tke1 RNA activator of glmS mRNA". It matches the Rfam family "GlmZ RNA activator of glmS mRNA", at positions 3 to 156 of the family's 214-position model. From Rfam's summary of the family: This RNA was discovered in E. coli during a large scale screen. The sraJ gene was expressed in early logarithmic phase, but its level decreased with cell growth. Specific cleavage products of this RNA were found. RNAcentral also lists the same sequence under 7 other names. Lineage: Bacteria; Pseudomonadati; Pseudomonadota; Gammaproteobacteria; Enterobacterales; Enterobacteriaceae. The record is from RNAcentral.